GACCAACGCUGGCGGCAUGCCUAACACAUGCAAGUCGAACGGACAGAACAGGGAAGCUUUUCGGAGUGGAACUGGAAAGUUGGUGGCGGAUGGGUGAGUAACGCGUGGACAACCUACCUUGUAAAGGGGAAUAACCUCGAGAAAUCGAAGCUAAUACCCCAUAAUAACCUUGCUUCGCAUGAAGUAAGGAGGAAAGGCGGCCUUAGCGCUGUCGAUACAAGAUGGGUCCGCGUCUGAUUAGCUAGUUGGUGAGGUAAAGGCUCACCAAGGCGACGAUCAGUAGCCGGCCUGAGAGGGUGAACGGCCACAUUGGGACUGAGACACGGCCCAAACUCCUACGGGAGGCAGCAGUGGGGAAUCUUCCGCAAUGGGCGAAAGCCUGACGGAGCAAUGCCGCGUGAGUGAAGAAGGCCUUCGGGUUGUAAAACUCUGUCCUUAUCGAAGAGAGAGUGUUGUAGUAACUGACAAUACUAGGACGGUAGAUGAGGAGGAAGCCCCGGCUAACUAUGUG
Molecule: ribosomal RNA, 511 nt
Filed under: uncultured bacterium
Lineage: Bacteria
Description: partial 16S ribosomal RNA
Rfam family: Bacterial small subunit ribosomal RNA
Source: RNAcentral